This is a non-coding RNA of Paramuricea clavata, 306 nucleotides long. NCBI's taxonomy places the organism in Eukaryota, Metazoa, Cnidaria, Anthozoa, Malacalcyonacea, Plexauridae. The record is from the annotation of a GenBank genome assembly.
UGCACGACAGCGGACAACCUAUUGAAAUUCCAUAGCGUUUUUUUGAGACAUCCUGUUUAAUAAACAUAGUUCCUGCAUGGUCAUGCAUACAAAUGAUAAUACAUUUCUUUACAUAAUAAGUACUCUCUUCCUCAAAAUCAAUUAACUUCAGAUCGCUGAUCGUAUAUCAACACGCAGUAUAACUAAAAUCCGUGCUGCCUCAACCGGUAUCUGUUGCUCAGUCAUGGCAAAACCGACCUUACUGCUUUUCGGUGUUGUGCUUUUAACUUCUCUACUCUCUAAUUUGGAAGCAGUGAGCCCAGGAGG